RNAcentral lists this ribosomal RNA (792 nucleotides) under Triticum aestivum (bread wheat). RNAcentral's name for it is "partial small subunit ribosomal RNA". Lineage: Eukaryota; Viridiplantae; Streptophyta; Magnoliopsida; Poales; Poaceae. The record is from RNAcentral.
AUGAGCACAUCAUAUCACCCACAGAGUGAUGGUCAAACUGAGCGAGUGAAUCAGUGCUUGGAGAAUUAUUUGAGGUGUAUGACCUUUGCUCAACCCAGGAAGUGGCACAAGUGGCUUUCCAUGGCUGAAUGGUGGUACAACACUACAUUUCACAAUUCUCUCAAGAUGACACCAUUCCAAGCACUAUAUGCUAGGCCUCCUCCUCUAAUUGCUGAACUCAUGCUUCCCCCAGUGGAAGGAGAAGAUCACCAAGCUGAGUUGGAUAGAAAUAGCAUUGCCCAACAGAUCAAGGACAACUUACUCAAAGGACAAGAAAGAAUGAAAUUCUUUGCAGACAAGAAAAGAUCUGAUAGGAACUUGGAAGUGGGAAACAUGGUUUAUGUCAAGAUACAUCCCUACAGGCACACAAGCUUGAGCAUUCAUAAACACUUAAAACUACACUCCAAGUACUAUGGACCGUUCAGGGUAAUGGAGAAAGUAGGGGCUGUGGCUUACAGAUUGUUGCUUCCAGAUGAUUGUCAACUCCACUCAACAUUCCAUGUAAGCCAACUCAAGAAGCACAUAGGCCCUGAGGCAGUACCAAACCCCAAACUCCCACUGCUGGAUGCACAAGGUAACAUCUUGAUCCAACCAGAAGCGGUCCUCGAGAGGAAACUAAUACCUAGAGUACAAGCCGACAUCAGCAUUCCCGUGGUACAGUGGCGCAUCCAAUGGCUCAAUCUACCAGUGGAAAAUGCAACUUGGGAAGAUGCAGCCUUCAUUCAGAAAGUUUUUCCAAGCUUCCAGCCUUGA